AUGCUCACCUCUGCAGCACACACACUAGAGCUUUAACAGCACAGAGAAGGCUGGCAUGGCCCCUGCAUAAGGAUGGCAUGCAAGUCUGUAUGCUGUUCUGUUAUUAU
Small nuclear RNA from Meriones unguiculatus (Mongolian gerbil), 107 nucleotides. The record is from Ensembl. Lineage: Eukaryota; Metazoa; Chordata; Mammalia; Rodentia; Muridae.